GCUUCGGGGGGUAGAGCACUGGAUGGGCUAGGGGGACUUACCGUCUUACCAAACCCAACCAAACUCCGAAUACCCGAAAGCACUGCGCGGGAGACACACGGUGGGUGCUAACGUCCAUCGUGGAGAGGGAAAAAACCCUGACCUACAGCUAAGGCCCCCAAUUCGUGGCUAAGUGGGAAAGGAUGUGGGAAUGCCAAAACAACCAGGAGGUUGGCUUAGAAGCAGCCAUCCUUUAAAGAAAGCGUAACAGCUCACUGGUCUAAAUAAGCGUUCCUGCGCCGAAAAUGUAACGGGGCUCAAGCCACGAGCCGAAGCUUAGGGUGCAUCGCAAGAUGCGCGGUAGCGGAGCGUUCUGCCGCCAGCGAAGGGGGACCCGUGAGGGCCCCUGGAGGUUGCAGAAGUGCGAAUGCUGGCACGAGUAACGACAAACAGUGUGAGAGACACUGUCGCCGAAAGUCCAAGGGUUCCUGCGUAAAGUUAAUCUGCGCAGGGUUAGCCGGUCCCUAAGGCGAGGCCGAAAGGCGUAGUCGAUGGGAACCACGUUAAUAUUCGUGGGCCAGCGGGUGGUGACGAAUUCCAAAAGUUGUUUCCGGUUACUGGAUUCCGGGAGCAGCGAAGGGGUUCCAGGAAAUAGCCCCCGCGUAGACCGUACCCGAAACCGACACAGUUGGACUGGUAGAGCAUACCAAGGCGCUUGAGUGAACUAUGCUGAAGGAACUCGGCAAUCUGCCUGCGUAACUUCGGGAUAAGCAGGACCCCGCUUUGGGCAACCAUUGCGGGGUGGCACAGACCAGGGGGUGGCGACUGUUUAGCAAAAACACAGGACUCUGCGAAAUCGUAAGAUGACGUAUAGGGUCUGACGCCUGCCCGGUGCCGGAAGGUUAAGAGGAGGGGUGCAAGCCUUGAAUCGAAGCCCCGGUAAACGGCGGCCGUAACUAUAACGGUCCUAAGGUAGCGAAAUUCCUUGUCGGGUAAGUUCCGACCUGCACGAAUGGCGUAACGACUUCCCCGCUGUCUCCAGCAUAGACUCAGUGAAAUUGAAUUCCCCGUGAAGAUGCGGGGUUCCUGCGGUCAGACGGAAAGACCCCGUGCACCUUUACUGUAGCUUUGCACUGGUAUUCGUGACUGCUUGUGUAGAAUAGGUGGUAGGCUUUGAAGCCCGGGCGCUAGCCUGAGUGGAGCCGCAAUGUGAAAUACCACCCUGGUGGUUAUGGAUAUCUAACCGCGUCCCGUCAUCCGGGACCGGGACAGUGCAUGGUGGGCAGUUUGACUGGGGCGGUCGCCUCCCAAAGAGUAACGGAGGCGUUCGAUGGUAGGCUCAGAGCGGUCGGAAAUCGCUCGUUGAGUGCAAUGGCAUAAGCCUGCCUGACUGCGAGACAGACAAGUCGAGCAGAGACGAAAGUCGGACAUAGUGAUCCGGUGGUCCC
This 1427-nucleotide ribosomal RNA is filed under the name metagenome. RNAcentral describes it as "bacterial LSU rRNA". It matches the Rfam family "Bacterial large subunit ribosomal RNA", at positions 891 to 2430 of the family's 2925-position model. The record is from RNAcentral.